UACCCUCGGAUGAAGCUUGUGGCGAACCCC
RNAcentral lists this non-coding RNA (30 nucleotides) under Homo sapiens (human). The record is from RNAcentral. Lineage: Eukaryota; Metazoa; Chordata; Mammalia; Primates; Hominidae.